GAAGGAAGAGGAAAACAUUCUAGAAGACAGCACAGCCUGUGCAAAGGCAUGGGGGCACCUCUUUCCUUAGACAUGCAGAGCUACAAUCUACAAGAUCUGACCCUGGCCUGGAGGAGGUGGAGGCAAUAUCCGGAGAGAGAGCGAGAGAUUCCUAUAGAAUACAAGACAAGACUAUCACAAUGACUUCAACAUGACUUGCUCUAGGAUGACCAAAGGAAGGGGAUCUGAAUGAGCCAUCUUAGAGGCUCCAAGGUGCCUGCUUCAGAACACUGAUGGAUGACUACAUGCGGGCUGAAGGUAAUGAGGUUGGUCAGCUGGAGGGCUUUCACCAGGCCCUUAAUCUGUCACCCCCUUGACACCUGCCUUCCCCUGAAAAGUGACAAAUGAUACAUUGAGUCAUGGUGGUAAUGUAAACCUCAGUGUAUUCUAGAAUCCCACAUCUACUGUUCUUAUGACAAGCACUUCUUUUAUGUACAAUUCAUUUUUCUCUGGAAAGCUCUGUCUAGACAUAGUCUUAGUUUCCACGGAUAUCUCAUAUCUUUAAUGCACUCUUCCAGGCUUGAUGAACAAAGUACAGAGUAGGCAAUGGGUUUUUCUGAAGGACUGAGUUAGGAUUUGUUUAGAAUCUGAACUAUGGUUCACUCUGAAUAUACACCCUUUUUGCAUAUACCAGGACAUAAGGAUCUUAACAAUCCCCGACUCUACACAGUUGGUGUGAAUUUGUUUCACUAAGCAAG
RNAcentral lists this long non-coding RNA (737 nucleotides) under Macaca nemestrina (pig-tailed macaque). RNAcentral describes it as "lncRNA (ENSMNEG00000045588.1)". Lineage: Eukaryota; Metazoa; Chordata; Mammalia; Primates; Cercopithecidae. The record is from RNAcentral.